RNAcentral lists this long non-coding RNA (774 nucleotides) under Triticum aestivum (bread wheat). Its description in RNAcentral is "long non-coding RNA (TAES_LNC013847)". The record is from RNAcentral. Lineage: Eukaryota; Viridiplantae; Streptophyta; Magnoliopsida; Poales; Poaceae.
CUUCUGAUAUAUCAAACAUUAAUAACCAAUUAAUAGCAAGUUAUCCAAACGAUAUACUUUUGUAUGUACUUAUCAGUUCCCAAUUAAUCAUGCACCCAAUUAAUUUCUCGUGUCUAUAAACAUUAGCAACCAAGACAUAGCUGCAGAAAUAGCCGGAGCAAAAUAAUAGCCAUCUACUAGUGAUUGGUCUUAUGAAGAACACAAGGGCAUUGUGCUUGCUUGCUCUUAUUGUCAUUUCCACCACUUUCUUGUCCUGCCAUGCAGCAGGUAUGUAGGAGCAUACAUAAAUAUUUUCUCCUACGUACUCAUUAGUUUCUUUUGUUCUUCCGCCUCUUCUAUUUUGUUUAAAUCAAACAAUAAAUCAGUUUUAACUGCAUCCUGAUGUUGUGUCUGAUCUGUAGGUACAAUGGACCUUGGACCUAUUCUUGGGUGUGUAAAGAUGAAAAAAGCUUGCUCAGUUAAUGGGUGCUUGCGGCAAUGUGCCUCUCAUGGUUGGAAUACCCACAGAUGCAUUUGCACCGAUGUUGGCCAUUGUUGUCACUACGCGGAGGCAAUGGCACCAAAUUGAUAGUAGUAGUAUGAUAUAUUGUUGUUAGCCAUGUCCUCUUGCUUUGCAAGGGUGAAUAUUAAUCAUCUAUGUCACCGCUGAUAUAAUAGAUGAGGAAGAUAUAAUAAAUUAAAAGCUAUAUAGUUGAAUUAUACUAUUUAUGAAGGGACUAUUCGGGCUAUGAGUUCUUUGCUUUUUUCCAUUCUUCUGUUAACUUAAAUUUUAUU